RNAcentral lists this ribosomal RNA (469 nucleotides) under Xenogryllus sp. TR-2005. RNAcentral describes it as "partial 16S ribosomal RNA". It matches the Rfam family "Bacterial large subunit ribosomal RNA", at positions 1850 to 2582 of the family's 2925-position model. The record is from RNAcentral. Lineage: Eukaryota; Metazoa; Arthropoda; Insecta; Orthoptera; Gryllidae.
AAGUYGGGCCUGCCCACUGAAGUGUUAAAGGGCCGCGGUAUUUUGACCGUGCMAAGGUAGCAUAAUCAUUAGUCUUUUAAUUGGAGGCUGGAAUGAAUGGUUURAUGAAAUAAUAACUGUCUCUUAUAUUAUUGAUUUGAAUUUUACUUUUGAGUUAAAAGGCUCAAAUGUUAUUAAGGGACGAGAAGACCCUAUAGAUCUUGAUAAUAAAUUUAUUUGAUUAUAUUUGGUUGUAUGAUUGUUUUAUAAGUGUAAUUAUUUUAUUGGGGUGAUAUGAGAAUAGUAUAACUUCUUAUAAGUUAACUUUGAUUAAUGGGUAAAUGAUCCUUUAAUAUGGAAUUAAGAUUAAGAUACCUUAGGGAUAACAGCGUAAUUUUAUUGAAGAGUUCUUAUCGAUAAUGAAGAUUGCGACCUCGAUGUUGGAUUAARAAUAUAUUUUGGUGUAGUAGCUAWUAAUAUUGGUCUGUUC